Molecule: long non-coding RNA, 1198 nt
Organism: Alnus glutinosa
Lineage: Eukaryota; Viridiplantae; Streptophyta; Magnoliopsida; Fagales; Betulaceae
Exons: 2
Source: RefSeq, a predicted model, not a curated record
AUGGAUGCAGGCAGGUAUGCAUUAUCAAAAGUGCUUCAGUCUUUUUUCCUCCACGAACAGAUCCGCGUGAAACAAAAAUCCUCAAAACUCUGUUAGACUUUUUCCUCCACACUUGAUGUGUCGUCCAUUGCCGGCGAUUUCCUCAACCUCCUGGGACCGCGAUUUUCGCGAGACUAUGGAGCUCCAGUUCCGGAUCUAGACUCGCCUGGAGCGGUGUGGGUGGGGGGCAUGAAGUGGCCAAAUCUGUACUCGCCUGGAUAUUCUUCUCUCCUCCAACUCGACCUCUCUCCAUGGCUGCUUCAUCCUCUGCUCAACCAACCACAAACCCGCAGGCCUCUAUUUUUUUUGUUGAUUUUUAUUUUGGUUAUAGUUCAUGGGUUGUUUGUCUGAUUUGGUUGUUAUGGAUUUGCUUUUCUCCUGUACCCUUUGUUUGGUUACAGAGAAAAUGGAAGGAAACCAAAAGAUUUAAAAUUGUGGUUUCUCAGGGUUGUUCUUUAAAGAUUUGUGGGUUGUUCUGGGUUUGCUUGUCUCUCUGUUGGUUUGGCUAUGGUUUGUAAUCCUCUUGAUUUCUCUGUUUCGUUGAUUUUGCUGUUGGUGUUUGUUUUGGUGUUUUGGACUUAUUCUGAACCAUUUAUGAGGAUACUUGCUCCAUGAGAAAAUGGUUGGCAAGGGUCUCCUUCCAAAUCUGAGGAGAAAAUGUCCAUGGGAUUAUUUGGAUUGUCAAGCAGAGUCCAUGAGAUUAUCUGGAAAAUCUUCCUGACAAAAUGGUUUUCAAGCAUAAGCUGAAAUAAAUGUAUUGAUUAGUCAAUCACAUUGAGAGAUUUCUGGUGCUUUUGGGUUGUGAUUCACGUUUGCAGUGGGAGAACAUGGUGAGAUGCAAGACUAGGCACCAGAAGCCUUUCUUAUUGCAGAUCAUUCUCAUCAAAUACUUGAUAUAUUUGAACUUUUGUAUAGUUUGAUGAGGCAGAAGGUCCUAACCCAAUAAUUGAACUUAUGGAUGUUAUUGAUGCGUUUAAAAGGGUCCUUAACCCAAGAUUUUUUGGAACUAUUCCUGGCUUUGUAUCUUUCCAGAGGUCACAUACAGUGCCAAAGUGCAUGUACUGAUAAUCUUUAACUUGGAAGAACCUUUUUGUUGUUGUAAAAAUCAUGUGUAUCUUGAUAUGGUUCUAUAUCCAAAUUGUGGUUGCCAGCUUUUUUA